GCUCCCGUGUGCUUCGAUGCCCAGUGUUUAUUAGGGUUUCAUGACACAGGUGUGGUUUGUUGGAUAUUGGCUGCAUGAACGAACUCCUGUCUCCUCCCUCUCCUGGAAAUUGGGCUGGCUCAAAGUCCAGCCCUCUCAUCACAACGUUGGUCUUCCUGGUGAUCAGCUCCGUCCUGAGCCUUCUCAUUUGCAUCUGUUCAGGCACCUACUCAGACGUUCCUGUGUGGCAUCCAUGGGGUCCCCCCAAGAGACCCCCUGCUCCUGCUGGCAGGACCCCUACACUGCUCCCAUCUGGACUCACGGGGAUCCCUUUGAGGAUUUCUCACUGGGAUUUCUGAAAGACGGCCAAGCUUCAAUCCGCAGGUGAGAAGGAGGCCGGCCUCUGCUUCCUGCUCUCGCCCCUCUUCCUGAAGCUCAGCAGUUUAAAAGGAGGAGAAGAGAAAAGGAAGAAAGAGAAAACACAGGUAAACCACCACCAUUUCAGAACAUCACGCCCUAUGCCCCUCCUCCGGUCUCUACUUCGGUGCCAGCCCCUCCUACCCCUAGGGGCGAGUCAGGGUUGUAGCUGAGCUCAGACUCUGAGGAGGGGUUGUGAGUCCCUUGGGGCAGAGUCCGGCCCCCUCCAACCCAGUCCCCAGCACAGGCUUGAACUGAGGGAAUUGCAGAUGCAUGGAUUUAGUAAAGAUUUUUGUAACAGCCAGAAAAAUCUUCAUGAAAGAGACACAGAAACCAUGAGAGACAGAACAAACAAACAAAUAAAGACUCACGA
RNAcentral lists this long non-coding RNA (769 nucleotides) under Fukomys damarensis (Damara mole-rat). RNAcentral describes it as "lncRNA (ENSFDAG00000029471.1)". Lineage: Eukaryota; Metazoa; Chordata; Mammalia; Rodentia; Bathyergidae. The record is from RNAcentral.